This 1502-nucleotide ribosomal RNA is filed under the name uncultured bacterium. RNAcentral describes it as "bacterial SSU rRNA". It matches the Rfam family "Bacterial small subunit ribosomal RNA". The record is from RNAcentral.
AGAGUUUGAUCCUGGCUCAGAAUGAACGCUGGCGGCGUGCCUUACACAUGCAAGUCGGAUGUGUCGCAAGACACAUGGCAGACGGGUGAGUAACACGUGGGAAACUUACCUCUUAGUGGGGAAUAACGCUCCGAAAGGAGCGGUAAUACCGCAUGAGACCUAUCGCUGGGAUGCGAUAGAUGAAAGCUGGGGAUCGUAAGACCUAGCGCUGAGAGAGAGUCCUGCGUCUGAUUAGUUAGUUGGUGAGGUAACGGCUCACCAAGACUUCGAUCAGUAGCCGGCCUGAGAGGGCGAUCGGCCACACUGGAACUGAGACACGGUCCAGACUCCUACGGGAGGCAGCAGUGGGGAAUCUUGCGCAAUGGGCGAAAGCCUGACGCAGCAACGCCGCGUGGGUGAUGAAGGUCUUCGGAUUGUAAAACCCUGUCGUUAGGGACGAAGAUAUAAAUCCUAAUACGAUUUAUGUUUGACGGUACCUAGAAAGGAAGCCCCGGCUAACUCUGUGCCAGCAGCCGCGGUAAUACAGAGGGGGCAAGCGUUAUUCGGAAUUAUUGGGCGUAAAGGGUGCGUAGGCGGUUUUUUAAGUCAGAUGUGUAAUCCCCGAGCUCAACUUGGGAACUGCAUCUGAAACUGGAAAACUAGAGUGCUGGAGAGGAUGGUGGAAUUCCACGUGUAGCGGUGAAAUGCGUAGAGAUGUGGAGGAACACCAGUGGCGAAGGCGGCCAUCUGGACAGUAACUGACGCUGAAGCACGAAAGUGUGGGUAGCAAACAGGAUUAGAUACCCUGGUAGUCCACGCCGUAAACGAUGUCAACUAGCCGUUGGAAGCCUUGAGCUUUUAGUGGCGCAGCUAACGCAUUAAGUUGACCGCCUGGGGAGUACGGCCGCAAGGUUAAAACUCAAAUGAAUUGACGGGGGCCCGCACAAGCGGUGGAGCAUGUGGUUUAAUUCGAAGCAACGCGAAGAACCUUACCAGGCCUUGACAUCCAAUGAACUUUCUAGAGAUAGAUUGGUGCCUUCGGGAACAUUGAGACAGGUGCUGCAUGGCUGUCGUCAGCUCGUGUCGUGAGAUGUUGGGUUAAGUCCCGUAACGAGCGCAACCCUUGUCCUUAGUUACCAGCACGUCAUGGUGGGCACUCUAAGGAGACUGCCGGUGACAAACCGGAGGAAGGUGGGGAUGACGUCAAGUCAUCAUGGCCCUUACGGCCUGGGCUACACACGUGCUACAAUGGUCGGUACAGAGGGUUGCCAAGCCGCGAGGUGGAGCUAAUCCCACAAAACCGAUCGUAGUCCGGAUCGCAGUCUGCAACUCGACUGCAUGAAGUCGGAAUCGCUAGUAAUCCCGGAUCAGCACGCCGGGGUGAAUACGUUCCCGGGCCUUGUACACACCGCCCAUCACACCACGAAAGUCGGCAACACCCGAAGCCGGUGGCCUAACCGUAAGGAAGGAACCGUCGAAGGUGGGGUCGGUGAUUGGGGUGAAGUCAUAACAAGGUAGCCGUA